CCUACGGGUGGCAGCAGUGGGGAAUAUUGGACAAUGGGCGGAAGCCUGAUCCAGCAACGCCGCGUGAGGGAUGACGGCCUUCGGGUUGUAAACCUCUUUCAGUACCGACGAAGCGACUCUUUUGGGGAGUGACGGUAGGUACAGAAGAAGCACCGGCCAACUACGUGCCAGCAGCCGCGGUAAUACGUAGGGUGCGAGCGUUGUCCGGAAUUAUUGGGCGUAAAGGGCUCGUAGGCGGUUUGUCGCGUCGGGAGUGAAAACGCCGUGCUUAACACGGCGCUUGCUUUCGAUACGGGCAGACUAGAGGUAUUCAGGGGAGAACGGAAUUCCUGGUGUAGCGGUGAAAUGCGCAGAUAUCAGGAGGAACACCGGUGGCGAAGGCGGUUCUCUGGGAAUGACCUGACGCUGAGGAGCGAAAGUGUGGGGAGCGAACAGGAUU
RNAcentral lists this ribosomal RNA (439 nucleotides) under uncultured Nocardioides sp. RNAcentral's name for it is "bacterial SSU rRNA". It matches the Rfam family "Bacterial small subunit ribosomal RNA", at positions 338 to 779 of the family's 1533-position model. The record is from RNAcentral. Lineage: Bacteria; Bacillati; Actinomycetota; Actinomycetes; Propionibacteriales; Nocardioidaceae.